CAGUUUCGUAGUGAACUGCGGAAGGAUCAUUA
This 32-nucleotide ribosomal RNA is filed under the name Phytopythium sp. HSR-2011. RNAcentral describes it as "partial 18S ribosomal RNA". Lineage: Eukaryota; Oomycota; Peronosporomycetes; Pythiales; Pythiaceae. The record is from RNAcentral.